AGUGCUGGGGUUCAGGGAGGGUGGACGCUUCAGUGGAGCGGCCCUGGGGCGCGCCUUCCCCUCCGGAGCCUCGGUUUCCUCCCUUCGAACUGUGGGGAAUGGGAGCCCCUUGCCCUGCAGGCGCAGAGUGAGACCUAGAGGGUCCGGGGCCGGCGCAAGCCCACGCACUGCGAUCGCUCAAUGAACUAGCCCCUGGUCCAGCCUCCUUCUGGCUCCUCGACCUUUCCCGGGGUCUCACUUUAGGACCCACCUCUCAGCAUCUCUGCCGAGAAGGUCAAGAUGGUGCAACCUUGAAGAUGCUUACAAGGAUGGGCUGGCCUGGAAAGGCUUCUGCAGCUGGCAUAGCUACAGUCUGGAACAUCAGUGACGUUCAGGCAGACUUCCUGGAGGAGUCUUUCAUCUUGGGAGACUUGCGGUUCAGAAAGUGCGGGGAGCCCAAGCUGGCAGGAUGUCAAGCCUGAAGUACUGGGCGUCUUGGAGCUUCUCCCUGGAGUACAGAACUGAGGAAGCUUCAGAAAGUGUGGACAAUGGGGCGGGAGCACUGCUAACGAGGGUGACGGAGGAACUCUGAGGACUCCCAGGUUUUUCAUCUUGGAGGACCCCCGGGGGCCCUCAAUACUGCAGAGCCAUCUUGCCCGUUCCUUCCCUUGAUGUUGGAUUGUUCCUGGCCUCCGAUGCAUCUGGAAUGAUGCAUGAAGCAGCCUGCCCAGAGGGAGGAAGAGUUUUGUGACUGCAAGUCUGUUCAGAGUCAAGUGUGGCCCCACAGGAUCCCAAACCCUUCAGAACAAGCCAGUCCAAUGUUGCUGAGCUCCAUCCACUCCCAUUUACUUUAAGAAACACUCUAGACCACUGUGGUCUAAUCCAGUAGCCACGAACCUCGUGGGACUAUGGAGCAGUUGACAUGUGGCUGGUCCAAACUGAGAUGCCCUGUGAGUGUAAACGAGUCCCUGGAUUUCAAAGACUCAGGGCAUUUGAAGAAUGGAAACUGUCUCACUAAUCAUUUUUUAUAUUGAUUAUGUGUUGAGAUGAUAAUAUCUUGGAUACACUGGGUUAAAUAAAAUAUACUGUUAAGAUUAAUUUCA
This 1082-nucleotide long non-coding RNA is filed under the name Bos indicus x Bos taurus (hybrid cattle). Its description in RNAcentral is "lncRNA (ENSBIXG00000014051.1)". Lineage: Eukaryota; Metazoa; Chordata; Mammalia; Artiodactyla; Bovidae. The record is from RNAcentral.